GGAAAGAUGCCGGAGUGGUCGAACGGGACGGUCUCGAAAACCGUUGUACCCUUUCGGGUACCCAGGGUUCGAAUCCCUGUCUUUCCGCCA
This 90-nucleotide transfer RNA is filed under the name Muribaculaceae bacterium. Its description in RNAcentral is "tRNA-Ser". It matches the Rfam family "tRNA". From Rfam's summary of the family: Transfer RNA (tRNA) molecules are approximately 80 nucleotides in length. The record is from RNAcentral. Lineage: Bacteria; Pseudomonadati; Bacteroidota; Bacteroidia; Bacteroidales; Muribaculaceae.